Molecule: ribosomal RNA, 435 nt
Filed under: Tingidae gen. 1 sp. n RS-2018
Lineage: Eukaryota; Metazoa; Arthropoda; Insecta; Hemiptera; Tingidae
Description: partial large subunit ribosomal RNA
Source: RNAcentral
CAUUUCUUUAUUGAUUUUUAUAUAAGGUAUAACCUGCUCAAUGAUUUUUAAAUAGCCGCGAUUUUAUCGUGCUAAGGUAGCAUAAUAAUUUGUCUUUUAAUUAAGGUCUAGAAUGAAUGGUUGAACGAGAAACUAACUUUUUUAAUUAAAUUUUUAUGAAUUUUAUUUUUUAGUAAAAAAGCUAAAAUUUAUUUAUGUGACGAUAAGACCCUAUAAAAUUUUAUUUUCAUAUUUUUAUUUAUUAACUGGUUAAUAUAAUUUUUUAACUAUCUUGGAAAUUUGGUUGGGGCGAUUAUUUUAUUUUUUUAACUUUAAUUUUUACAAUUCAUUAAUUUGUGAAUUAUUGAUCCUAAAUUUUAGAUUAAAAGAAUAAAUUACUUUAGGGAUAACAGCGUAAUUUUCUUGGAGAGUUCUUAUUAAUAAGAAAGAUUGCGA